UCCCGGUUAACCCGGGCAGUCUCAUUAGAGUUCCCACCUUUACGUGUUGGCAACUAAUGAUAAGGGUUGCGCUCGUUGCUGGACUUAACCAAACACCUCACGGCACGAGCUGACGACAGCCAUGCAGCACCUGUGCAGAGGCCCCGAAGGGCGGCUCCAUCUCUGGAGACUUCCUCUGCAUGUCAAGUCUGGGUAAGGUUCUUCGCGUUGCAUCGAAUUAAACCACAUGCUCCACUGCUUGUGCGGGUCCCCGUCAAUUCUUUUGAGUUUCAGCCUUGCGACUGUACUCCCCAGGCGGCAUACUUAACGCGUUCGCUACGGCACAGCCAGGGUUGAGUCCGGCUACACCUAGUAUGCAUCGUUUACGGCAAGGACUAC
RNAcentral lists this unclassified non-coding RNA (378 nucleotides) under uncultured Parachlamydiaceae bacterium. RNAcentral's name for it is "contains 16S-23S intergenic spacer region". Lineage: Bacteria; Pseudomonadati; Chlamydiota; Chlamydiia; Parachlamydiales; Parachlamydiaceae. The record is from RNAcentral.